GGUGGAGCAUGUGGUUUAAUUCGAAGCAACGCGCAGAACCUUACCUACCCUUGACAUGUCCAGUAUGGUCUCCGGAGACGGGGACCUUCAGUUCGGCUGGCUGGAACACAGGUGCUGCAUGGCUGUCGUCAGCUCGUGACGUGAGAUGUUGGGUUAAGUCCCGCAACGAGCGCAACCCUCGCUUCUAGUCGCCAUCAUUCAGUUGGGCACUCUAGAGGGACUGCCGGUGAUAAGCCGGAGGAAGGUGGGGAUGACGUCAAGUCCUCAUGGCCCUUACGGGUAGGGCUACACACGUGCUACAAUGGCGGUGACAGUGGGCAGCGACACAGUGAUGUGAUGCUAAUCCCAAAAAGCCGUCUCAGUUCAGAUUGCAGCCUGCAACUCGGCUGCAUGAAGUUGGAAUCGCUAGUAAUCGCUAAUCAGCAGGUAGCGGUGAAUACGUUCCCGGGCCUUGUACACACCGCCCGUCACACCAUGGGAGUUGUCAUACACUGAAGACGGUG
Molecule: ribosomal RNA, 503 nt
Filed under: uncultured Alphaproteobacteria bacterium
Lineage: Bacteria; Pseudomonadati; Pseudomonadota; Alphaproteobacteria
Description: bacterial SSU rRNA
Rfam family: Bacterial small subunit ribosomal RNA
Source: RNAcentral